GACUUGGGGGGGGACGGUGUCAGCGCCUCCCGGGUGGCUCGAGAUCCCCCCCGGUCUCCAGCAUCACCGUGGGAGCGAGGGGCGGUGGCAGCGGGGCUCGCUUGGCUCCCUCUCCUCUCCCCGCCGCCCCCGGCUCCCCAGGGCCCCCCCUCCUGCGCGGCUGCGCCACCUUAAGCGGGAGAACGGGGCGCUCGGAGCCGGGAGCCGGCUCUGCAGCCGGGGUCCCGCCGGUGCCUCCCGCAUCCUCCCGGUACCGACCCCCAUGGGGGGCGAGCGCAGCAUCCCCCGACGGCAGCUGCCUCCGCCCCGCUUCAGCAUACGUCGCCUCCUCCAGGGACCCCCGGGAGCUCCGGGGCAUCGCCUCCUCCAGGGACUCCCGGAAUCUCCGGGGCAUCGCCUCCUCCAGGGACCCCCGGGAUCUCCGGGGCAUCGCCUCCCCCCAGGACCCCCGGGAGCGCCGGGGCAUCGCCUCCCCCCAGGACCCCCGGGAGCUCCGGGGCAUCGCCUCCUCCAGGGACUCCCGGGAGCUCCGGGGCAUCGCCUCCUCCCGAGACCCCCGGGAUCUCCAGGGCAUCGCCUCCCCCCGGGACUCCCAGGAACUCGGGGGCAUCGCCUCCCCCCGGGAACCUCGGGAGCUUCGGGGCAUCGCCUCUUCCAGGGACCCCCGGGAGUUCCGGGGCAUCCGCACCCCAAGGAUGUUCCCGCAGGGUCGGCAGCCGCAGCCGUUCAAGUUCUCUGUGGUGGAAAUCUGCGAUCGUAUCAAGGAGGAAUUUCAGUUCCUGCAGGCGCAAUACCACGGCCUGAAGCUGGAAUGUGAGAAGCUGGCGAGCGAGAAGACAGAGAUGCAGAGACAUUAUGUCAUGUACUACGAGAUGUCCUACGGGCUCAACAUCGAGAUGCACAAGCAGGCAGAGAUUGUCAAGAGGCUGAGUGCCAUCUGCGCCCAGAUGAUUCCCUUUCUGACGCAGGAGCACCAGCAGCAGGUCCUGCAGGCUGUGGAGCGGGCCAAGCAGGUGACCAUGGGGGAACUGAACAGCAUCGUCGGGCAGCAGCAGCUUCAGCACCUCUCCCAUCACGCAUCCCCCAUCCCGCUGACAUCUCACUCCUCUGGCAUGCAGCCUUCUGGCCUGAGCGGGGCCAGCACCACCUCGAGCCUCCUGACCCUCUCAGGGGCACUGAUGGCACAGUCACAGAUGGUCAACAAGGAGGACAGAGUGGUCCAGGAUGGGGAGAACAGAGAGCGCACUCCAAGCCGGAGCAUCUCUGCUUCCCCUCCUGAGAGCUUGCAGGACGAGGAGCGGACAGGAGGCGCGGGGCUGAAGCGGAAGCGGGAGGAGAAGGACCUGCCUGGACAUUAUGAUAGCGAUGGGGAUAAAAGUGACUGCAACCUCGUGGUGGAUGAGGACCCCACCUCGGAGCCCGGCAGCCCCAUCAACCUGCUGCCACCAUCCUCCCGGGAGAUACCCGAGAGCCCUGCCUCCAGCACCUCCAGCCGGAGCACGACACCCCUCAAGCCAAAGGAACGGAAUCCGACCGAGCCUGCCGCCAGCACUCCCACCUCCAAGCCCUCCAUUCCCUCGCCAGCCGGAGAUUCCCUCACGCCCGGCCCCGGAACCAGCUCGGCCACCCUGCUCCGACAGCCGCCUGCCAAAGCACCGGCCACCGACACCAUCACUCUCCGCAGCCCACUGAGCAUCUCCAACCCUUACACGUCCUCCUUUGGGAUGGUGCCUCAUGCCAGCCUCAACGGGGAGCUCCCAGCCCCCGGCAUGUACAUGGGCAUCCACCUCUCGCCGCAGGUCAGCAGCGCCGUGGUGUACGGCCGGUCCCCGAUGGUGGCUUUUGAGUCCCAUCCUCAUUUGAGGACUUCCAGCAUCUCAUCUUCACUCUCCACCAUCCCUGGAGGGAAACCCGCCUACUCCUUCCACGUCAGCGCUGACGGGCAGAUGCAGCCGGUGCCUUUCCCACCCGACGCCCUCAUCGGCUCCGGCAUUCCCCGCCACGCGCGGCAGCUCCACACCUUGACCCACGGCGAGGUGGUUUGCGCCGUCACCAUCAGCAACUCCACACAGCACGUCUACACGGGUGGCAAGGGCUGCGUGAAGGUGUGGGAUGUGGGGCAGCCGGGCACCAAGACGGCGGUGGCUCAGCUGGACUGUUUGAACCGCGACAACUACAUCCGCUCCUGCAAGCUGCUCCCCGACGGCCGGAGCCUGAUCGUGGGAGGGGAGGCCAGCACCCUCUCCAUCUGGGACCUGGCAGCCCCUACGCCCCGCAUCAAGGCUGAGCUCACCUCCUCUGCCCCCGCCUGCUACGCCCUGGCCAUCAGCCCCGAUGCCAAAGUCUGCUUCUCCUGCUGCAGCGACGGCAACAUCGUGGUGUGGGACCUGCAGAACCAGACCAUGGUGAGUUUCAAGGUCACACGGAUGGUGCCAGCUGCAUCGACAUCUCCAACGAUGGCACCAAGCUAUGGACAGGGGGGCUGGACAACACGGUGCGGUGCUGGGACCUGCGGGAAGGGCGUCAGCUGCAGCAGCACGACUUCAGCUCCCAGAUCUUCUCCCUGGGGCACUGCCCGACGGGCGAGUGGCUGGCAGUGGGCAUGGAGAGCAGCAACGUGGAGAUCCUGCACGUCACCAAACCGGACAAGUACCAGCUGCACCUCCACGAGAGCUGCGUCCUCUCCCUCAAAUUCGCCUCGUGCGGGAAGUGGUUUGUGAGCACAGGGAAGGACAACCUGCUGAACGCUUGGCGAACGCCCUACGGAGCCAGCAUCUUCCAGUCUAAAGAGUCCUCAUCGGUGCUGAGCUGUGACAUCUCCGUCAACGACAAAUUCAUCGUUACGGGCUCUGGCAACAAGAAGGCCACGGUGUACGAGGUGGUGUACUGAGAUGCUGUCCAUCACCGUUCCUCAUCCAUAAGGGAAGCCAUCAGGGCUUGCCAAAGCUGGUGGGACUGGGGGAGACAGCCCUGCUCUCCCUCCUUCUGCUCCUCUUUUAGCCAAGGGCAGGGCUUCCCCUCCCAAGAUUCCUGCCCGACGUGUCACAGCAGUGAAGGGGACUGCUGGAGGUGAUGGGCAAUGUCCUCGUGGCCAAGCAUCCCCCCAAGAUGGGCUGGGGCAGGGGUUGGUCCAGGCAUCCUAGGACCUAUCUGUCCAUCAGGGCUGGAGCCGCCGUGAGACCGUGGGUGACUGAGAGAGUGUUGCUCCUGAAUUACUGCUACUGAUUUAAUGGCACCCAUUUUUUCUGCUCCAGAAACAGCUGUAAAUUAUCAGUGAUGUAUUUAACUGUGUUUUCGAGCCCUUACUAAUAAAAAGGAACAAAAGAAGGGCUGCUCUGGUGCUGGGAUGAGGGCUGAUCUUACUGCAGGACUGAUGGAAACCCAUCCCUGGGGAGC
RNA transcript from Cuculus canorus (common cuckoo), 3396 nucleotides. It is a transcript of the gene named transducin-like enhancer protein 2, with no coding region annotated. Lineage: Eukaryota; Metazoa; Chordata; Aves; Cuculiformes; Cuculidae. The transcript has 20 exons. The record is from RefSeq and is a predicted model, not a curated record.